Molecule: long non-coding RNA, 679 nt
Organism: Bactrocera oleae (olive fruit fly)
Lineage: Eukaryota; Metazoa; Arthropoda; Insecta; Diptera; Tephritidae
Source: RefSeq, a predicted model, not a curated record
GUUUACUGUAUGCAAUUUUAGAAGAAACAAAUUGGAAAAAACGUCAAUUUCGCACCGAAAUACAAAAGUUUUCCAUACAAGGACUUGAUUCCGGUCGUUCAGUUUGUAUGGCAGCUACAGUAGCGAGCAAUACUGGACAAAUGUUCCUCAAAAUUCAACAAAAUCAAAAAAUUAGAACAACAGUCAUCUCAGUACAAAAAAAUAAUUUGUCGUCUUCGGGCAACUCUGGUGGUCGACCUAGGAUAUUGAAUAACAAGGAUGCGCGUCAUAUGUAACGGUGAUUUGUAAAAACCCUAAGGAGGCUAGUUGUGGAUAGCCAGAAGAGCAUUACACAAAAUGUGUCACUACGUGAAACAUCAUCUUAUGUUAUGCGUAGCAUAUGCGUAGAAUUUCCGACCUCCCUUUGACGAAAUGUUGAAUCGAUAAGUCCAAGAAGCUAAAUUGUGUGCUUCGUUGUUUUACAUCUCGUUAAUAAUUGAUACAUUAUCACUUGGUUACAAAAGAGUAGAAAGAGCUUGAGCACCUAAGAAUAAGCCUAACCUACCAUCUAAUAAGCAGGUUCAUUGAACAAAUGCGAGUUAAAACUAUAUUUAUUUAAUUUGUGAUUAACAAUUGCAAUUUAUACAUAUACAUGUGUAAAAGUACAUACAUAAUCUAAUUGUGAUUCACUUCUGUCAGA